GGUAUUGAAAUAAGAUUUUAAAUGAGUGCUAAGAGAAUGAUUAAACAAUUAAAAGCUUUCUUUAAUUAAAUAAUUAAAUUUAAUUUUUUUAGUGCAAAAGCAAAAAUGAAAUUUAGGGACAAGAAGACCCUAUGAAUUUUUAUUGUUAAUGAUUUAAAUUUUAAUUAUUAACAAUUUAAUUGGGGUGAUAAAAAAAGAAUAAGUAUCUUUUUAAUUAUAAAAUAAGUUCCGUUUUUAGCGAUUAAAUGAAAUAAAUACUCUAGGGAUAACAGCGUAAUAAUUUUAGAUAGUUCAUAUAGAUAAAAUAGUUUGCGACCUCGAUGUUGGAUUAGGAUUCUUUUUUGGUGAAGAA
RNAcentral lists this ribosomal RNA (352 nucleotides) under Ixodes scapularis (black-legged tick). RNAcentral's name for it is "partial 16S ribosomal RNA". Lineage: Eukaryota; Metazoa; Arthropoda; Arachnida; Ixodida; Ixodidae. The record is from RNAcentral.